RNAcentral lists this ribosomal RNA (450 nucleotides) under uncultured bacterium. RNAcentral's name for it is "bacterial SSU rRNA". It matches the Rfam family "Bacterial small subunit ribosomal RNA", at positions 29 to 526 of the family's 1533-position model. The record is from RNAcentral.
AACGAACGCUGGCGGCAGGCUUAACACAUGCAAGUCGAGCGCCCCGCAAGGGGAGCGGCAGACGGGUGAGUAACGCGUGGGAACGUACCCUUUUCUACGGAAUAACGCAUGGAAACGUGUGCUAAUACCGUAUACGCCCUUAGGGGGAAAGAUUUAUCGGAGAAGGAUCGGCCCGCGUUGGAUUAGCUAGUUGGUGGGGUAAAGGCCUACCAAGGCGACGAUCCAUAGCUGGUCUGAGAGGAUGAUCAGCCACAUUGGGACUGAGACACGGCCCAAACUCCUACGGGAGGCAGCAGUGGGGAAUAUUGGACAAUGGGCGCAAGCCUGAUCCAGCCAUGCCGCGUGAGUGAUGAAGGCCUUAGGGUUGUAAAGCUCUUUCACCGGAGAAGAUAAUGACGGUAUCCGGAGAAGAAGCCCCGGCUAACUUCGUGCCAGCCGCCGCCGUAACAC